AGCGAACGCUGGCGGCAGGCCUAAUACAUGCCAGUCGAACGAACUCUUUCUAGUUAGUGGAGGACGGGAGCUUAACACGUGACAACGUACCUUUUGGUUCGGAAUAUCCCACGUAGACUUGUGCUAAUACUGAAUGUGCCCUUCGGGGGCAAGAUUUAUCGUCAUUUGAGCGGCCCGAGUCUGAUUAGCUAGUUGGCGAGGUAACGGCUCACCAAGGCGACGAUCAGUAGCUGGUCUGAGAGGAUGACCAGCCACACUGGGACUGAGACACGGCACAGACUCCUACGGGAGGCAGCAGUGGGGAAUCUUGCGCAAUGGGCGAAAGCCUGACGCAGCCAUGCCGCGUGAAUGAUGAAGGUCUUAGGAUUGGAAAAUUCUUUCACCGGGGACGAUAAUGACGGUACCCGGAGAAGAAGCCCCGGCUAACUUCGUG
This 433-nucleotide ribosomal RNA is filed under the name uncultured bacterium. RNAcentral describes it as "partial 16S ribosomal RNA". It matches the Rfam family "Bacterial small subunit ribosomal RNA", at positions 29 to 507 of the family's 1533-position model. The record is from RNAcentral.